RNAcentral lists this ribosomal RNA (253 nucleotides) under uncultured bacterium. RNAcentral's name for it is "partial 16S ribosomal RNA". It matches the Rfam family "Bacterial small subunit ribosomal RNA", at positions 527 to 779 of the family's 1533-position model. The record is from RNAcentral.
CGAAGGGGCUAGCGUUGCUCGGAAUGACUGGGCGUAAAGGGCGCGUAGGCGGUAUGGACAGUCAGGUGUGAAAUUCCCGGGCUUAACCUGGGGACUGCAUUUGAUACGUUCAAACUAGAGUGUGGAAGAGGGUCGUGGAAUUCCCAGUGUAGAGGUGAAAUUCGUAGAUAUUGGGAAGAACACCGGUGGCGAAGGCGGCGACCUGGUCCAUUACUGACGCUGAGGCGCGAAAGCGUGGGGAGCAAACAGGAUU